UGGGGAAUUUUGGACAAUGGGCGAAAGCCUGAUCCAGCAAUGCCGCGUGUGUGAAGAAGGCCUUCGGGUUGUAAAGCACUUUUGUCCGGAAAGAAAUCCUUGGCUCUAAUACAGUCGGGGGAUGACGGUACCGGAAGAAUAAGCACCGGCUAACUACGUGCCAGCAGCCGCGGUAAUACGUAGGGUGCAAGCGUUAAUCGGAAUUACUGGGCGUAAAGCGUGCGCAGGCGGUUUGCUAAGACCGAUGUGAAAUCCCCGGGCUCAACCUGGGAACUGCAUUGGUGACUGGCAGGCUAGAGUAUGGCAGAGGGGGGUAGAAUUCCACGUGUAGCAGUGAAAUGCGUAGAGAUGUGGAGGAAUACCGAUGGCGAAGGCAGCCCCCUGGGCCAAAUACUGACGCUCAUGCACGAAAGCGUGGGGAGCAAACAGGAUUAGAUACCCUGGUAGUCCACGCCCUAAACGAUGUCAACUAGUUGUUGGGGAUUCAUUUCCUUAGUAACGUAGCUAACGCGUGAAGUUGACCGCCUGGGGAGUACGGUCGCAAGAUUAAAACUCAAAUGAAUUGAC
RNAcentral lists this ribosomal RNA (567 nucleotides) under uncultured bacterium. Its description in RNAcentral is "partial 16S ribosomal RNA". It matches the Rfam family "Bacterial small subunit ribosomal RNA", at positions 355 to 914 of the family's 1533-position model. The record is from RNAcentral.